UCCUCGAUUUGCAUGCUCUCUCGCCGAUCAGACAGACGAGAGAGCAUGCAAAUCGAGGAAA
This 61-nucleotide microRNA precursor is filed under the name Pristionchus pacificus. RNAcentral describes it as "mir-8364 microRNA precursor family". It matches the Rfam family "mir-8364 microRNA precursor family". The record is from Rfam by way of RNAcentral. Lineage: Eukaryota; Metazoa; Nematoda; Chromadorea; Rhabditida; Neodiplogasteridae.